AGAGUUGAUUAUGGCUCAGGACGAACGCUGGCGGCGUGCUUAACACAUGCAAGUCGAACGGGGAUCAUAUGGAUGAUAGCUUCGGCAGGAAUCCGAAUGAUUCGAGUGGCGGACGGGUGAGUAACGCGUGAGCAACCUGUCCCAGACAGGGGGAUAACACUUGGAAACAGGUGCUAAUACCGCAUGAGACCACAGUAUCGCAUGGUACAGAAGGUAAAAGGUGCAAACCGGUUUGGGGUGGGCUCGCGUCCGAUUAGAUAGUUGGUGAGGUAACGGCCCACCAAGUCGACGAUCGGUAGCCGACCUGAGAGGGUGAUCGGCCACAUUGGAACUGAGAGACGGUACCAAACUCCGUACGGGAGGCAGCAGGUGGGGAAUUAGUUGGGCAAGUGGGACGAAAGCCCUCGACCCAGCAACGCCGCGUGAGUGAAGAAGGUCGUUUCGGGUUAGUAAAGCUCUGUUAUAGGGGACGAAGGAAGUGACGGUACCCUAUAAGGAAGCCCCGGCUAACUACGUGCCAGCCGCAGC
Molecule: ribosomal RNA, 528 nt
Filed under: uncultured bacterium
Lineage: Bacteria
Description: bacterial SSU rRNA
Rfam family: Bacterial small subunit ribosomal RNA
Source: RNAcentral